Molecule: ribosomal RNA, 492 nt
Filed under: uncultured bacterium
Lineage: Bacteria
Description: bacterial SSU rRNA
Rfam family: Bacterial small subunit ribosomal RNA
Source: RNAcentral
CCUGGCUCAGGAUGAACGCUGGCGGCGUGCCUAACACAUGCAAGUCGAGCGAGAAGCUGAUGACUGAUUCUUCGGAUGAGAGAUUCAGUGGAAAGCGGCGGACGGGUGAGUAACGCGUAGGCAACCUGCCCUUUGCAGAGGGAUAGCCAUUGGAAACGAUGAUUAAAACCUCAUAAUACCUUUUUCCUGCAUAGGAGAGAGGUCAAAGAUUUAUCGGCAAAGGAUGGGCCUGCGUCUGAUUAGCUGGUUGGUGGGGUAACGGCUCACCAAGGCGACGAUCAGUAGCCGACCUGAGAGGGUGAUCGGCCACAUUGGAACUGAGACACGGUCCAAACUCCUACGGGAGGCAGCAGUGGGGAAUAUUGCACAAUGGGCGAAAGCCUGAUGCAGCAACGCCGCGUGAAGGAGGAAGGCCUUCGGGUCGUAAACUUCUGUCCUUGAGGAAGAAGAAAUGACGGUACUCAAGGAGGAAGCCCCGGCUAACUACGUGCC